GUCCACGCCGUAAACGAUGUGUGCUAGACGUUGGGGAGCCUAGCUCUUCGGUGUCGCAGCUAACGCUUUAAGCACACCGCCUGGGGAGUACGGCCGCAAGGUUAAAACUCAAAGGAAUUGACGGGGCCCGCACAAGCGGUGGAGCAUGUGGUUUAAUUCGACGCAACGCGAAGAACCUUACCAGCCCCUUGACAUGUCCCGUACGGUCCGGAGAGAUCCGGUCCAUCAGUUCGGCUGGCGGGAACACAGGUGCUGCAUGGCUGUCGU
RNAcentral lists this ribosomal RNA (267 nucleotides) under uncultured bacterium. RNAcentral describes it as "partial 16S ribosomal RNA". It matches the Rfam family "Bacterial small subunit ribosomal RNA", at positions 793 to 1055 of the family's 1533-position model. The record is from RNAcentral.